RNAcentral lists this non-coding RNA (24 nucleotides) under Arabidopsis thaliana (thale cress). Lineage: Eukaryota; Viridiplantae; Streptophyta; Magnoliopsida; Brassicales; Brassicaceae. The record is from RNAcentral.
UAUUCCUUUAGAUAUUGUGAGAUG